Molecule: non-coding RNA, 2562 nt
Organism: Oncorhynchus mykiss (rainbow trout)
Lineage: Eukaryota; Metazoa; Chordata; Actinopteri; Salmoniformes; Salmonidae
Source: RefSeq, a predicted model, not a curated record
UUGUUUUCUGUAUAGUUUUAGCUACCUUACAGAACUGUUUGUGUCUCGCGGUGUUAUUUUUGUUCUAGUGUUCAGAUUUAAACAAACAUCAUGAACACGUACCUCGCUGCGCUUUGGGCCACUCCUUCAUCAGACGAGCGUUACAGUGCCUCGAGGAAAAUUAUUUUCUUGCAUCGAAUGCGAUCAGGCUGAACAAUUGAAUAGGUGCCGGGUCUCGGACCAGGCGUGGCCUGGCCCAAUUUAAUCCCUGGUCACAGGACACCAUCGCCCACUUACCCCAAGGUGGCUCAACUUACCCUGACCCUAUGCUCAACUUACCCCAUACCCGAGAUGCGUGGGUCUUCCAGGCUCUGUCAAAAAUUCCAAGGACAUUCCCUGGACUCCAAAGGAACGUUUUGCAUUGAGAAUAGGAGGAGAGAAUGUGGAGUGAACGUAUACUGUAUGGAAAGCAGCAGUCUAUUUACACUACAAAGACUUUAAACUCAACGCCUAUUCAGAGAGAGACGUGGCUACGCAAACAAAGAGGAAUCCUAACUUUGAACGAGACAUUCUUCCUGUUGGCCCCCGUCUUGUGGUUUUCUCACUGCAUAGAGGAAUAGCGAUGUUGGUCUAACACACUGAAGUAAUAUACUAGCCAUAUCCCUCCCAUGGGAAUGAAAUCCUCAGCUUUGAAAUCAUUUUUUAUUAAGACCAUAAUCCUAUUUUGACGGCUCUCUCGGACAAAAGCGUAAAAUGAUAGCGAACCAGGAAAUGAAAAAGUCUGCACACAGGUCCUGGUCUCAGGAAGGGGGCUAGAGUUUAGGAAUGCGACACCUGUUUUUAAUUAAGGAGAGGCAAAUGGAUACUUGUAAAAAAUAUAUAUUGAUUUGCAAUGCUCAUUUAAAUUGUCGCAAACUAAUCCAUAGCAAAACCUGUAACAUGUUAUUUUACAGCCCACAUUACUUUAAAUAAGAAACUAUGUGGUAACAAUAGAUACUUUCUGGUACUAAGAGCAAAUAAUUCAACACAAUUGAUAACUAGCUGGUACAAAUUCCUCAUAGUGACGUUUGUGUUAGAAUCUCAAAGAACUCAAAGUGAAAUUACCAUUUUAAUAUUAGUUCAUUUUAUUUUAACAAUUAAUUUUAAAGUGUUCAACCAGGUUGAUAGAACUGCCAGGGGAAAGAACCCUUUCCAGGAACUCUCUAUUGUUUCCAAAAAUCACCUUGAAUAGAGAACAUCGGGGUACAAGAUCAACACAGUGUAUUAUGGUGAAUUUCAUUUAACUCAUAAAAUGCCCUGCCAUGAUUAUCAGUAAACGGCAAGAUAAAUGGCAAACACCUGUGUCUUGUGCUGCCAAUGUGUGCUCUGGAUUGUUUGGGAAAGAAUGCAUUGGAGCCGUCAAGCUUUCAUCACACUGGGAGCGUGUGAUUGAUGGUCUUUGGCUGUCGAACCUGACAGAAGCACAUGAGCGGCUGUGUUUACCUGCAGCAACCUGCCGCUCUCAUCCCUCACGCAGCUUCUUAUGUCAGCUAUCAGUGCAACAAUCGCAAGUAGGCAACACGGCACUUUGAACAUGCAGCGUGCAACUAUGUGUCAGUGUGUUUAACUGUAUGUGUGUAGAGAGAGCAGAAGAGAGAAAUCGUAUGUGUAGGGACUGGGGAGGUUAUUAUUAUAUUAUUCGCUCUAAUUUUAUUCAAUAAACAAAGAGGUGAGUGUUAGAUUUCCAAUCUAACACUCACCUCUCCUAUAUUGUUAAAUUUGCAGACCAAACAAAAUCUGCCCACAUCGACAAUUGUGGCGAUAUGCCGUUCUCAGCCUUGAAACCAAAAGUCCGCUUAUGAUUACGUUGGAUCAUGUGUUUGCUGCCUCAAAACCAUAUUUUUUUUCCCAAGGAACAAAAAGUAUAGCUGUCUUGUUUUCUCUCCCACCCCUUAAAAUCAGCACUUCUAAAUGAUCCUUGGCAGGAGAUUAAACUCGCGGCAGCCUUGACAUAGCACUCUCCUGCCUCGCCAUUCCCAUGAGACGCUCCGCACAAAGUUAGUGUGGGGCCAGGGUCAGCCACUGACGUUGCCCCAUUGUUGAGUCUCUCGGUGCAGGGUGAGGACAGGGACAAUGGCAACUAGAGAAGACCGGCGUCGGUUGUCACACUUUAGUCUUGUGUGUAUUUCUCAGCACCAGCAUACCUUACGAGACUCUUUUCAAUAUUAGGAGAAACAUCAGGGUCUUUGAUUGCUUACAACUCCAUGUUGGAGUAAGAUAUGAGGAUUAAAAGGGUCCCCAUUUCAACCUAAUACACUCUGGUAAACUCUGUAAUAGGUGUGUAAACUCUGAUCGACUGCCACGGUGAAAAAAAGUAACGCUUCCUAUACUUUCAAAUAAAUUUUGGGUGCCACAAACUGUGUUUACCCUCCAAUUACACCACUGGAUUUAUUAUAAUGCAGUUGAUACUAACAACUUAUCCCCCCCCCCGAUUCAAGUCCUCUUGGUAAGCAACUCCAGUGUAUAACUGGCAUUGUGUUUUAGGUUAUUGUUGAAUUUGUCUCCCAGUGUCUGUUGGAAAGCAGACCAGGUUUUCCUCUAUAA